CUGGUUGACGCAUGGUCCUCUCUCGGCUUGGCGCCCUGGCGGCGCCGCUUGCAGGGGUCCUUAACACCGCGCUUGAUGUGGUCUUGAAGCUCCUCUUGGGCGAGCUUCUUGACUGUCUGCUGCUUGCUGCUGGAUGUAGCGGCCUUUUCCUUUGAAAUUUGCCUUGAAUGGUGGGGACUUGGUGAACUUGCUGUCUGCCCCAUCAUUGGCCAUUCGCUGCUCCGGUUUAUAGCUUCGAUCAAGGAUCUCUGCCAUGCGCAUUGCCUCCUGCAGCCUAGCCGGCUGCUUGAGCUUUAUCUCCUUGGGCAGCUAUAGUUUGAGACCGUCAAUGAAGGUCCCAAGCAAGGCUUCCUCAAACCAUCCGCGGACCAUUGUUUGGAGCUGCUGGAACUCAUCGAUGCAGCCUUGGACCUUGCCCUCUUGUUUGAGUUUGGCAAGUUGGCCGUGAUGAUUGACAAUGGGGAAAGGUCCCUAUUGUGUCAUGAAUUCAUCUACAAAGACUAUCCAACCCAUUCUCCUUCCUUCUCAUACAAAGGCCCAGAUCCACCUCCACCAUCGGUUUGCCCUACCUUCUGGGUGGAAACUUGCAAGGGUCACCUGAUCAGUUCUUGGCACUUUAUACACAUCAAAGUACUAAUCCGCCUUUUCUAACCACCCAUACGGGUCUCCCCUGCUGAACUUUGGAAAAUCAAUUUUGGGUUUUCUAUACCCUCGCUCUGUAAGCCGAGGACCCCCCUCACUAAGGUCUUCAUUCCGUACUCCUCUCCUUUUCUCGAUGUGCUCUCUCCGGCCAUGAGGCCUUUGAGCAUGAGAGGGCUCCUCUUCGGCCAUGAUUUCCUCCCCAUAAUACACUUCUUGCCUCACACCCUCUCGAUUUUCUUCGAUCCAUCUCUCCAACGCUACUCCGGGUCCUUCUACUCUUCUUCCCAGUCUCCUGUUUUCUCUCAUGCCAUAGUCCCAUUGGUCGUUUGCCGACCCACUGCCUCCUUCACCCUCCUCUUCUCUUGCCUGGCCUUGCCUUGAGAUAUGCGACCUAGGCCUCUCCCUCUGAUUUUUUUUCUCUCCCUCUCUC
This 1072-nucleotide long non-coding RNA is filed under the name Phoenix dactylifera (date palm). RNAcentral describes it as "long non-coding RNA (PDAC_LNC007604)". The record is from RNAcentral. Lineage: Eukaryota; Viridiplantae; Streptophyta; Magnoliopsida; Arecales; Arecaceae.